Non-coding RNA from Corapipo altera (White-ruffed manakin), 72 nucleotides. The record is from the annotation of a RefSeq genome assembly. Lineage: Eukaryota; Metazoa; Chordata; Aves; Passeriformes; Pipridae.
UCCCUGGUGGUCUAGUGGUUAGGAUAUGGCGCUCUCACCGCCAUGGCCUGGGUUCGAUUCCCGGUCAGGGAA